UUCCGAUGCAAGGUGGUAGGCGUUUCCAGGGACUUAAAGACCUGGAUAGCCGAGAACUGAUGCCGAAGGGACCUUCGGGUUCCGCAAAGGGAUUAAGAGCACACUGCCGAGAAAAUCUUCGCAGGUGAAGACAAACAUUGACCGUACCGCAAUCCGACACAGGUAGGCGAGGCGAGAAGCCUAAGGUGCUCGAGUGAUUUACGGAGAAGGAACUCGGCAAAAUUACCCCGUAACUUCGGGAUAAGGGGUGCCGGUUGUACGUGAGGCUGUACAGGCCAAGCGGAAUCCGGUCGCAGAGAAUCGCGUCAAGCGACUGUUUAGCAAAAACACAGGUGCCUGCCAAAGCGUAUUCCAAGCUGACGUAUAGGCACUGACGCCUGCCCGGUGCCGGAAGGUUAAAGCGAGGGGUUAGCGACUUCGGUUGCGAAGCUCUGAACUGAAGCCCCGGUAAACGGCGGCCGUAACGAUAACGGUCCUAAGGUAGCGAAAUUCCUUGUCGGGUAAGUUCCGACCUGCACGAAUGGCGUAACGACUUGACGGCUGUCUCCUCCGUAAGCUCGGCGAAACUGCAGUAUCGGUGAGGAUUCCGAUUUCCCGCUACAGGACAAAAAGACCCCGUGCACCUUUACUAUAGCCUGCCAUUGGACGUCGACUAGACAUGCGUAGCAUAGGUGGAAGCCGUUGAUCCUUCGGUUUUGGCCGGAGGGGAGGCAACAGUGAAAUACCACCCUUGUUUUGUUAACGUCCUCACUCGGUCGGCAACACCGACGAGGACCGUGGCUGGUGGGUAGUUUGACUGGGGCGGUCGCCUCCUAGAGAGUAGCGGAGGCGCGCAAUGGUGCCCUCAGUGCGGUCGGUAAUCGCACGUAGAGCGCAAAAGCAGAAGGGCGCCUGACAGUGAGAGCGACGGCUCGAACUGGGACGAAAGUCGGCUUUAGUGAUCCGGUGGUACCGUGUGGACGGGCCAUCGCUUAACGGAUAAAAGGUACGCUGGGGAUAACAGGCUUAUCGCGCCCGAGAGUUCACAUCGACGGCGCGGUUUGGCACCUCGAUGUCGGCUUGUCACAUCCUGGGGCUGGAGAAGGUCCCAAGGGUCCGGCUGUUCGCCGGUUAAAGUGGCACAUGAGCUGGGUUCAGAACGUCGUGAGACAGUUCGGUCUGUAUCCGUAGUGGGCGUGGGAAUGUUGAGGGAGGCCGACCUUAGUACGAGAGGACCGGGUUGGACGGACCGCUCGUGUCCCGGCUGUCACGCCAGUGGCAACGCCGGUUAGCGAUGUCCGGCAGGGAUAACCGCUGAAAGCAUCUAAGUGGGAAACCCGUCCCAAGAUCAACAUUCCUGGGUCGCAAGACCCCUAAAGGGCCGUGGAAGACUACCACGUUGAUAGGAGGCAGGUGUAAGGCGCGCAAGCGCUUCAGCCGAGCCUUGCUAAUCGCCCGUGCAGCUUGAUCUC
RNAcentral lists this ribosomal RNA (1451 nucleotides) under metagenome. RNAcentral's name for it is "bacterial LSU rRNA". It matches the Rfam family "Bacterial large subunit ribosomal RNA", at positions 1505 to 2925 of the family's 2925-position model. The record is from RNAcentral.